CAUCCAGUCCUGGGCAAAUGAGAGCUCGGGCAUGCAGAGGAGGAGGGAGGUGCUUGAAGUUAAUGGAAAGGCUUUUACAGUUAUGGGACAGUUGUAGCUGGGAAUGAUACAUAAUAAUGAUGCCUGUUUAUGCCCACAUUUGCUGUUUUUUAGGUAGUAAGGACUUGUUGCUAUCCUUCCAUGGUACUUUUCUGAAUACAAUGCUGAAAAAUCUGAAUUUGUAGCACUUUUUUUUUCCCAGUUACAUCAAGAAAUGACUUGUGUAAUUUCUUGUUCUGGUAAAUAAUAAAUAAUCUUGCUUUUGUGAGUUUGGUUUCCAGCCAGGUAGAAAUGGGCUUCUCUUCCCUUACAGGCAAUCCUGCAUUUGCCAUUCUCCUGCAAAGGCUUGGAUCACCGGUGCUCUGCUGUGUGCUUUUAGGAAGAGCCUCCCCUUCCUGGCUGUGGCAAAGUCUUCCAGGCAGGAGGGUCUGGCUGGCCUUUCUCUGCAUCCAACUGUAUCUCCAGCUCAGACUUACUGCGGGGCAAGAUUCAACAGUCUUAGAGAUUCCUGACCCUGUGUCCAAGGCCAGGAAACUAUAGUUGAGCCAAAACCAUUGGCACCACUGCUUAGAGGUAAUAAAUACAUUCAUUCUUGUAAUACAUUUUUAUUGGCAUGAGCAAGGCUUAAUACAUACCACCUUGUUUUUUUCUGUGCCUGAACAAGGAAAAUUGUGCAAGUUGGACUUAGGAGUGAUUAAGAGACCUAAGCAGGUUGGACUGAUAAGAUCACAGAUUUUAUGACACUUUGCCAUUCUAUCAUCUUCUUUGAGCUCCUGUGUAGCACAGAUUGUAGAGCUUCAUCCUUUAUUCUUCUUAAGCCAAUGCAUUUUGUUAGAGUGAGAUUUUUCUCUAGAGGCUAAUGGUCAUUACUCUCUGGAUUUGAGUUCUCAUGGGCAUGUUGCAGAAUCACAAGCAGCUGGCUCAGAGCUUCUAAGGCAACUUCUGUUCCUGGUUCCAGAUCUGACAUUCCUGACACUUCUGUAAAAU
Molecule: long non-coding RNA, 1026 nt
Filed under: Taeniopygia guttata (zebra finch)
Lineage: Eukaryota; Metazoa; Chordata; Aves; Passeriformes; Estrildidae
Description: lncRNA (ENSTGUG00000024978.1)
Source: RNAcentral